This is a long non-coding RNA of Pongo pygmaeus (Bornean orangutan), 1570 nucleotides long. RefSeq lists it as uncharacterized. The transcript has 5 exons. NCBI's taxonomy places the organism in Eukaryota, Metazoa, Chordata, Mammalia, Primates, Hominidae. The record is from RefSeq and is a predicted model, not a curated record.
AAAAUGUUAUAGCGCUGUUAGGAAGUGCUGUUCUAGAAUAUAGAAUGUGGCUGCCGUGAGUGGAGUGUGACUAUGAGAUAGUUGCCUGACUGGAGACAAUGAAGCCUCAGGCCAAGGAUGCUCACUCCUACUCAGCCCUGUUUAGUGGGAUUUUUCAGCCUACUGUAAAGCCUACUGCUGCCUGUAAAGCCACCUAAGUGCAUCACUUGCUGGUGUUCACCAUGAUAACAACAAUGUAUGGGGACAGAAUAUGUUUCUAGAGCUGCUGGUGCCACUACUUCUGACAAGUUACUGGGGUCCCUGAAAUAAAACACCACAGUGCAGAAGUGUUCUCUUGGACUGCUGACAGGUCCACCAUAAAAGAUUGUUCCUGUAUAUGAAGCUCUGAGUGACUACCAUAUGCCAACCACUCUAUAUGGAUUUUCUCAUUUGGAACUGUGAGCCGGUGCUUAUCCAAGUUUAUGAUGCACUGAAAACAGGAGAAUCACUGGUAACUUGUCAGUGAUACCACUAUGAGUUCCUGUGUAAGAGGAUACCUGCCUCAGAGAGGAAGUAUCAAGGGAUGCAGCCUGCAGAAGCCUUAGUGGCUGGCUCUCCUGUGGGCUGAGUCACCCAUGGGUGCAUAGGGUGAAAAGACAGGAAUUCACACUUGCUGAGCAAGCCUCUAAGCAGACACACUUUGAAACCUGACAACACACAAGAAUCAUCGAUGCUGGCAUCCUCUGGACCUCAAAACACUGGUUUCUCCUGCCCUAUCUUGUCAUCCAUUUCCCUUCCCUUCAAUGGCCCAAAAAGUGGGGGUAUGAAGGGGAAAGACACUGACCAAAAAGCGGGAGACUUAAUUAGACCUUAUAUGCAUGCCAGGAUGCCUAAUGUUAAGAAGCAGAAUGAGAAGUGUGAGUUUAAGUCUACACUUCGAUAGAGCUUAGGAGAGUUCCUAGGGCAGAUAUAAUCAUGCUCCACUGUUUCUAUUCAAAGAGGCCUCCAGAAAGUUUAAGAUAUCUCUUGAAAAGAAAUCCUUUGACUGGAGAAAUUUGUAUACACAAAUAUCUUAUGCCCUAGCUACAAUACCAUUUAAAAUCCCUCAAAGGAGAGUGUUUAACCUAAAAUCCCUCAAAGGAGAGUGUUUCACCCCAAGUUUCUACCUAACAUAUACCAGACGACACUCUGAUUCUACGGGGAAGGAAGUCACUCUUAGAAGCCCAGAACCUAGAACCUUUCAAGGGGAGGGGCUGGCACUGGAGGUCUUCAGUGUAUCUGCCACUUUUCAGAUUCCUAAGGAAGAAUGGAGUCACAGCCAUGACUCAUUGUAACCCUAGUGAGAUGAAAUGGAUUCCCAAAAUACACUGAUUCUUGGCAAAGCACAUUCUAAAUUGGUAUCUUUGGGAAAAGUGGAGGGAGAGGCACUUGUAAAGAAAAUGAGAGCUUCUUAGCUUGACUAGGAGCUAGAGGAAGUGCUAACUCUUUCAGAUUUUGUGAUGCAACACUGGGAAAAUGCUUUGCUUCUCAAAAGAAAUGAAAAUGUUUCAUUCGAAUCUCUCUCACCAAUAAGACUGGAUUCCUAGCUCAA